RNAcentral lists this unclassified non-coding RNA (342 nucleotides) under soil metagenome. RNAcentral describes it as "partial contains 5.8S ribosomal RNA, internal transcribed spacer 2, and large subunit ribosomal RNA". The stretch from base 1 to 120 matches the Rfam family "5.8S ribosomal RNA", at positions 35 to 154 of the family's 154-position model. The record is from RNAcentral.
GAUGAAGAACGUAGCAAAAUGCGAUAAGUAAUGUGAAUUGCAGAAUUCAGUGAAUCAUCGAGUUUUUGAACGCAUAUUGCGCCCUCUGGUAUUCCGGGGGGCAUGCCUGUUCGAGCGUCAUUAAAUAACCCUCAAGCAUAGCUUGGUGUUGGGCUUUUUUACGUCCUUGACUGGGAUGGGCCUAAAAAUUAGUGGCGAUGGCUUUUUUACUUUCAAGCGUAGUAAAUCUCGUCUUGCUAAAGAGGAAAAAGAUUUUUUUUCUGCCAAAAAUUUUAACAUUUAAAGUUGACCUCGGAUCAGGUAGGAUUACCCGCUGAACUUAAGCAUAUCAAUAAGCGAGGA